This 407-nucleotide ribosomal RNA is filed under the name uncultured bacterium. Its description in RNAcentral is "bacterial SSU rRNA". It matches the Rfam family "Bacterial small subunit ribosomal RNA", at positions 355 to 774 of the family's 1533-position model. The record is from RNAcentral.
UGGGGAAUAUUGCACAAUGGGCGCAAGCCUGAUGCAGCAACGCCGCGUGAGGGACGACGGCCUUCGGGUUGUAAACCUCUUUUGGCAGGGAAGAAGCGAAAGUGACGGUACCUGCAGAAAAAGCACCGGCUAACUACGUGCCAGCAGCCGCGGUGAUACGUAGGGUGCAAGCGUUGUCCGGAAUUAUUGGGCGUAAAGAGCUCGUAGGCGGUUUGUCGCGUCUGCUGUGAAAACCCGAGGCUCAACCUCGGGCCUGCAGUGGGUACGGGCAAACUAGAGUGCGGUAGGGGAGAUUGGAAUUCCUGGUGUAGCGGUGGAAUGCGCAGAUAUCAGGAGGAACACCGAUGGGGAAGGCAGAUCUCUGGGCCGUAACUGACGCUGAGGAGCGAAAGCAUGGGGAGCGAACA